Long non-coding RNA from Neolamprologus brichardi, 635 nucleotides. RefSeq lists it as uncharacterized. NCBI's taxonomy places the organism in Eukaryota, Metazoa, Chordata, Actinopteri, Cichliformes, Cichlidae. The record is from RefSeq and is a predicted model, not a curated record.
GAGUCCCAGCUUACAUGUUUAUUUCAUAUUUUCAGUUGUUUCCCUCCACGGCUAAAUAAAUCAGUAAUGCACUGAUACACAAGAAUGGACAUGAGGAGCUUCUUUCAAAGAAACAACUCAGUUUCCUGAUGUCAACCCCAGUCAUGCUGCAGUCUGGAAGAGCAUCUCUGCAAUCAACAAGGUCGCUGUCAGGCGUCAGAAGAGCAAGAUUGACACCUUGUACAUCAACAUGGUUAAGCAUCUCAUUCCAUGCCAGGCGAGCCACUCACUUGGGGCAUUUGAUGAACUUUUCAGAGCACAUUUUGUGUUUAAUUUGUCCCAAGAUAAUAUAAAUCUGGACUUGUUAUUUGCAGUGCAGUGGAAGAAGACAUGUCUGUCUUUUACCAAGUUAUUUACUUUUGGUUAAAGAUAAGAAAAUGUUAUGGGAAACAAGUUGUUUACAGAGUGUUUUGAUAACCAUCUGUAUGCAUUCAGAGUUGUACAUACCAAGGAGAGAUGCAUAGUGAAAAUGUCAGAUCUAACGUUUUAUAUAGCUUUUGAUAAGCAAAGGUCAGACAAUGUUUCAGAUUAGACAGAGUACAUUGUACCUUCAUUCACAUUUUUUGAAGACAAAAUAAAUGUCCUUUUUGGUCAAA